GCCCAGACUCCUACGGGAGGCAGCAGUGGGGAAUAUUGCACAAUGGGGGAAACCCUGAUGCAGCGACGCCGCGUGAGCGAUGAAGUAUUUCGGUAUGUAAAGCUCUAUCAGCAGGGAAGAAAAUGACGGUACCUGACUAAGAAGCCCCGGCUAACUACGUGCCAGCAGCCGCGGUAAUACGUAGGGGGCAAGCGUUAUCCGGAUUUACUGGGUGUAAAGGGAGCGUAGACGGCUGUGCAAGCCAGAUGUGAAAGCCCGGGGCUCAACCCCGGGACUGCAUUUGGAACUGUGUGGCUGGAGUGUCGGAGAGGCAGGCGGAAUUCCUAGUGUAGCGGUGAAAUGCGUAGAUAUCAGGAGGAACACCGGUGGCGAAGGCGGCCUGCUGGACUGCAACUGACGUUGAGGCCCGAAAGCGUGGGGAGCAAACAGGAUUAGAUACCCGAGUA
RNAcentral lists this ribosomal RNA (446 nucleotides) under uncultured bacterium. RNAcentral's name for it is "partial 16S ribosomal RNA". It matches the Rfam family "Bacterial small subunit ribosomal RNA", at positions 329 to 792 of the family's 1533-position model. The record is from RNAcentral.